This 311-nucleotide ribosomal RNA is filed under the name uncultured bacterium. RNAcentral describes it as "bacterial SSU rRNA". It matches the Rfam family "Bacterial small subunit ribosomal RNA", at positions 28 to 334 of the family's 1533-position model. The record is from RNAcentral.
GACGAACGCUGGCGGCGUGCCUAAUACAUGCAAGUAGAACGCUGAGGACUGGUGCUUGCACUGGUCUAAGGAGUUGCGAACGGGUGAGUAACGCGUAGGUAACCUACCUCAUAGCGGGGGAUAACUAUUGGAAACGGCUGGUAAUACCGCAUAAGACCACGGCACCGCAUGGUGCAGGGGUAAAAGAUUUAUCGGUGUGAGAUGGAUCCGCGUCUGAUUAGCCAGUUGGCGGGGUAACGGCCCACCAAAGCGACGAUCAGUAGCCGGCCUGAGAGGGUGAACGGCCACAUUGGGACUGAGACACGGCCCAA